CUGUAAGCCUGCGAAGGUGGCCUGUGAGGGUUGCUGGAGGUAUCAGAAGUGCGAAUGCUGACAUAAGUAACGAUAAAGCGGGUGAAAAGCCCGCUCGCCGGAAGACCAAGGGUUCCUGUCCAACGUUAAUCGGGGCAGGGUGAGUCGACCCCUAAGGCGAGGCCGAAAGGCGUAGUCGAUGGGAAACGGGUUAAUAUUCCCGUACUUGGUGUUACUGCGAAGGGGGGACGGAGAAGGCUAUGUUGGCCGGGCGACGGUUGUCCCGGUUUAAGCGUGUAGGUGUGUGUUCCAGGUAAAUCCGGUUCACUUUAACACUGAGGCGUGAUGACGAGGCACUACGGUGCUGAAGCAACAAAUGCCCUGCUUCCAGGAAAAGCCUCUAAGCAUCAGGUAACAUCAAAUCGUACCCCAAACCGACACAGGUGGUCAGGUAGAGAAUACCAAGGCGCUUGAGAGAACUCGGGUGAAGGAACUAGGCAAAAUGGUGCCGUAACU
Molecule: ribosomal RNA, 495 nt
Filed under: Salmonella enterica
Lineage: Bacteria; Pseudomonadati; Pseudomonadota; Gammaproteobacteria; Enterobacterales; Enterobacteriaceae
Also listed under: 2 other names
Description: partial 23S ribosomal RNA
Rfam family: Bacterial large subunit ribosomal RNA
Source: RNAcentral